UGGCCCAGAUCGUUUACCGUGAAAAAAUUAGAGUGUUCAAAGCAGGCAGAUCCAAUUUUCUGCCWCCGAAUACAUUAGCAUGGGAUAAUGGAAUAGGACCCUGUCCUCCUAUUUUCAGUUGGUUUUGGCAGCGCGAGGACUAGGGUAAUGAUUAAUAGGGAUAGUUGGGGGCAUUMAUAUUUAAUUGUCAGAGGUGAAAUUCUUGGAUUUAUGAAAGAUUAACUUCYGCGAAAGCAUCUGCCAAGGAUGUUUUCAUUAAUCAAGAACGAAAGUUAGGGGAUCGAAGACGAUCAGAYACCGUCGUWGUCUUCUCCACUUUUCUCCSACCAGCGAUUAGGAGCCGUUGACCCCAAGGCCUUCCCUCCAGCUCUCCUCCWUUAAGGUAGUCCMRGACAAAGUAGAGCUGUMCGGGCGSUS
RNAcentral lists this ribosomal RNA (417 nucleotides) under Acanthamoeba sp. RNAcentral describes it as "partial 18S ribosomal RNA". The stretch from base 1 to 324 matches the Rfam family "Eukaryotic small subunit ribosomal RNA", at positions 750 to 1126 of the family's 1831-position model. The record is from RNAcentral. Lineage: Eukaryota; Discosea; Longamoebia; Acanthamoebidae.